UGGGGAAUAUUGGACAAUGGGCGAAAGCCUGAUCCAGCCAUGCCGCGUGUGUGAAGAAGGUCUUCGGAUUGUAAAGCACUUUAAGUUGGGAGGAAGGGCAGUAAGUUAAUACCUUGCUGUUUUGACGUUACCGACAGAAUAAGCACCGGCUAACUCUGUGCCAGCAGCCGCGGUAAUACAGAGGGUGCAAGCGUUAAUCGGAAUUACCGGGCGUAAAGCGCGCGUAGGUGGUUUGUUAAGUUGGAUGUGAAAGCCCCGGGCUCAACCUGGGAACUGCAUCCAAAACUGGCAAGCUAGAGUACGGUAGAGGGUGGUGGAAUUUCCUGUGUAGCGGUGAAAUGCGUAGAUAUAGGAAGGAACACCAGUGGCGAAGGCGACCACCUGGACAAAGACUGACGCUCAGGUGCGAAAGCGUGGGGAGCAAACA
Molecule: ribosomal RNA, 427 nt
Filed under: uncultured bacterium
Lineage: Bacteria
Description: partial 16S ribosomal RNA
Rfam family: Bacterial small subunit ribosomal RNA
Source: RNAcentral